CUCUUUGGGUGGCGAGUGGCGGACGGGUGAGUAAUGUCUGGGAAACUGCCCGAUGGAGGGGGAUAACUACUGGAAACGGUAGCUAAUACCGCAUAACGUCGCAAGACCAAAGUGGGGGACCUUCGGGCCUCACACCAUCGGAUGUGCCCAGAUGGGAUUAGCUAGUAGGUGGGGUAAUGGCUCACCUAGGCGACGAUCCCUAGCUGGUCUGAGAGGAUGACCAGCCACACUGGAACUGAGACACGGUCCAGACUCCUACGGGAGGCAGCAGUGGGGAAUAUUGCACAAUGGGCGCAAGCCUGAUGCAGCCAUGCCGCGUGUAUGAAGAAGGCCUUCGGGUUGUAAAGUACUUUCAGCGGGGAGGAAGGCGGUGAGGUUAAUAACCUCGCCGAUUGACGUUACCCGCAGAAGAAGCACCGGCUAACUCCGUGCCAGCAGCCGCGGUAAUACGGAGGGUGCAAGCGUUAAUCGGAAUUACUGGGCGUAAAGCGCACGCAGGCGGUCUGUUAAGUCAGAUGUGAAAUCCCCGGGCUUAACCUGGGAACUGCAUUUGAAACUGGCAGGCUUGAGUCUCGUAGAGGGGGGUAGAAUUCCAGGUGU
RNAcentral lists this ribosomal RNA (600 nucleotides) under Pantoea dispersa. RNAcentral's name for it is "bacterial SSU rRNA". It matches the Rfam family "Bacterial small subunit ribosomal RNA", at positions 80 to 676 of the family's 1533-position model. Lineage: Bacteria; Pseudomonadati; Pseudomonadota; Gammaproteobacteria; Enterobacterales; Erwiniaceae. The record is from RNAcentral.